CAAGUGUUAUCCGGAAUCACUGGGCGUAAAGCGUCUGUAGGUGGUUUAAUAAGUCAACUGUUAAAUCUUGAGGCUCAACCUCAAAAUCGCAGUCGAAACUAUUAGGCUAGAGUAUAGUAGGGGUAAAGGGAAUUUCCAGUGGAGCGGUGAAAUGCGUAGAGAUUGGAAAGAACACCGAUGGCGAAGGCACUUUACUGGGCUAUUACUAACACUCAGAGACGAAAGCUAGGGUAGCAAAUGGG
This 242-nucleotide ribosomal RNA is filed under the name uncultured bacterium. RNAcentral's name for it is "partial 16S ribosomal RNA". It matches the Rfam family "Bacterial small subunit ribosomal RNA", at positions 535 to 776 of the family's 1533-position model. The record is from RNAcentral.